This 231-nucleotide long non-coding RNA is filed under the name Solanum tuberosum (potato). RNAcentral describes it as "long non-coding RNA (STUB_LNC011369)". The record is from RNAcentral. Lineage: Eukaryota; Viridiplantae; Streptophyta; Magnoliopsida; Solanales; Solanaceae.
UAGAGAGAAUUCAUUUGAAGAACAAUCAAGCUUAUUCAACUCUAAUAUGUCUUGUCAAAAAUAAAGUUCUAUAAAGGUGUUUAUUUAAGGAAAUUUUUUCCCUUCUUAUAACCUAGGUUCAAAGUAUGUCGAUUGUUGGGCAUGAAGACUGUUAAAGACAAAUUAAGCAGAUGGAGAAAUAUCCACUCUUCAGUCCAAUGGAAAGUUCUUUCACAUCGACAUUAAUAUUUU